RNAcentral lists this ribosomal RNA (253 nucleotides) under uncultured bacterium. RNAcentral's name for it is "partial 16S ribosomal RNA". It matches the Rfam family "Bacterial small subunit ribosomal RNA", at positions 524 to 776 of the family's 1533-position model. The record is from RNAcentral.
UACGGGGGGGGCAAGCGUUGUUCGGAAUUACUGGGCGUAAAGGGCGCGUAGGCGGCAUGGCAAGUCAGGAGUGAAAGGCCUGGGCUCAACCGAGGAACUGCUUUUGAUACUGCCAAGCUAGAGUGCGGAAGGGGCAACUGGAAUUCCCAGUGUAGCGGUGAAAUGCGUAGAUAUUGGGAAGAACACCUGAGGCGAAGGCGGGUUGCUGGGCCGACACUGACGCUGAGGCGCGAAAGCCAGGGGAGCAAACGGG